RNAcentral lists this ribosomal RNA (467 nucleotides) under uncultured bacterium. RNAcentral's name for it is "partial 16S ribosomal RNA". It matches the Rfam family "Bacterial small subunit ribosomal RNA", at positions 29 to 507 of the family's 1533-position model. The record is from RNAcentral.
ACGAACGCUGGCGGCGUGCUUAACCCCUGCAAGUCGAACGGAAAGGCCCUGCUUUUGUGGGGUGCUCGAGUGGCGAACGGGUGAGUAACACGUGAGUAACCUGCCCUUGACUUUGGGAUAACUUCAGGAAACUGGGGCUAAUACCGGAUAGGAGCUCCUGCUGCAUGGUGGGGGUUGGAAAGUUUCGGCGGUUGGGGAUGGACUCGCGGCUUAUCAGCUUGUUGGUGGGGUAGUGGCUUACCAAGGCUUUGACGGUUAGCCGGCCUGAGAGGGUGACCGGCCACAUUGGGACUGAGAUACGGCCCAGACUCCUACGGGAGGCAGCAGUGGGGAAUAUUGCACAAUGGGCGGAAGCCUGAUGCAGCAACGCCGCGUGCGGGAUGACGGCCUUCGGGUUGUAAACCGCUUUCGCCUGUGACGAAGCGUGAGUGACGGUAAUGGGUAAAGAAGCACCGGCUAACUACGUG